CCUACGGGUGGCAGCAGUGAGGAAUAUUGGUCAAUGGACGAGAGUCUGAACCAGCCAAGUAGCGUGAAGGAUGACUGCCCUAUGGGUUGUAAACUUCUUUUAUAAAGGAAUAAAACGAGGCACGUGUGCCUUUUUGCAUGGACUUUAUGAAUAAGGAUCGGCUAACUCCGUGCCAGCAGCCGCGGUAAUACGGAGGAUCCGAGCGUUAUCCGGAUUUAUUGGGUUUAAAGGGAGCGUAGAUGGGUUGUUAAGUCAGUUGUGAAAGUUUGCGGCUCAACCGUAAAAUUGCAAUUGAUACUGGCAGUCGUGAGUACAGUUGAGGUAGGCGGAAUUCGUGGUGUAGCGGUGAAAUGCUUAGAUAUAACGAAGAACCCCGAUGGCGAAGGCAGCUUACUAAACUGUGACUGACAUUGAUGCUCGAAAGUGUGGGUAUCAAACAGGAUUAGAUACCCGAGUAGUC
RNAcentral lists this ribosomal RNA (460 nucleotides) under uncultured bacterium. Its description in RNAcentral is "partial 16S ribosomal RNA". It matches the Rfam family "Bacterial small subunit ribosomal RNA", at positions 338 to 795 of the family's 1533-position model. The record is from RNAcentral.